GCUUCUGAAGGAUAACAGUCAUCCGCUGGUCUUAGGAACCAAAAACUCUUGGUGCAAGGUCUUAGGAGAAGCU
Molecule: transfer RNA, 73 nt
Filed under: Thryssa setirostris (longjaw thryssa)
Lineage: Eukaryota; Metazoa; Chordata; Actinopteri; Clupeiformes; Engraulidae
Description: tRNA-Leu
Source: RNAcentral